GAACCACUGACGAUACUCGUGAAUGUUC
Molecule: non-coding RNA, 28 nt
Filed under: unclassified sequences
Description: L19-Flavobacteria ribosomal protein leader
Rfam family: L19-Flavobacteria ribosomal protein leader
Source: RNAcentral